RNAcentral lists this ribosomal RNA (460 nucleotides) under uncultured bacterium. RNAcentral describes it as "partial 16S ribosomal RNA". It matches the Rfam family "Bacterial small subunit ribosomal RNA", at positions 338 to 795 of the family's 1533-position model. The record is from RNAcentral.
GCUACGGGAGGCUGCAGUGAGGAAUAUUGGUCAAUGGACGCAAGUCUGAACCAGCCAUGCCGCGUGCAGGAAGAAGGCUCUAUGAGUUGUAAACUGCUUUUGUACGAGGGUAAACUCAGAUACGCGUAUCUGUCUGAGGGUAUCGUACGAAUAAGCAUCGGCUAACUCCGUGCCAGCAGCCGCGGUAAUACGGAGGAUUCAAGCGUUAUCCGGAUUUAUUGGGUUGAAAGGGUGCGUAGGCGGUCGGAUAAGUUAGAGGUGAAAUCCCGAGGCUCAACUUCGGACGUGCCUAUGAUACUGUUUGUCUAGAGAGUAGUUGAGGUAGGCGGAAUGUACGGUGUAGCGGUGAAAUGCUUAGAGAUCGUACAGAACACCGAUUGCGAAGGCAGCUUACCAAGCUCCUUCUGACGUUGAGGCACGAAAGCGUGGGGAGCAAACAGGAUUAGAUACCCUUGUAGUC